This is a long non-coding RNA of Cygnus olor (mute swan), 884 nucleotides long. RefSeq lists it as uncharacterized. NCBI's taxonomy places the organism in Eukaryota, Metazoa, Chordata, Aves, Anseriformes, Anatidae. The transcript is spliced from 4 exons. The record is from RefSeq and is a predicted model, not a curated record.
UCAUACGGGCAGCUACCAUGCCAGAACCAGGAGACUAGCUUUGUGGCUUUAACUGCUCCAGCUUUUUUUGUAAGCACAUCUAACUGUAUGAAGAUGCAAAAGACAUAAAUAAGAAUCCACUAUAAUUGGCAAGAAAACAAGCAGAAUGUACUGAAAGUACCAUACCUGUACAAGCAGAGAGUUUGUCUGAGUUUAAAAGAAAGAAAGAAAGAAAAGAAAACAGAACUGGAAGGGGAUCGAUGCCAUUUCACAAGAUAGGAUCAAACUAUUGCGGCAGAAAGCUGGAAGAAGCUUGCAGAUCGGCUGAAUCUUGAUCUAUCCUCUCCCUCUCGCAUAUGUAAAUUGCGGUUGCUUUCUUCAGAUCUGCCAUCAGACUCUGCUACCAACCACCUCUCCCAAGUUUUUCAAAGACUGUUGCCAAACAGAAAAAUGGACUCUGUAUGUGUCUGUAUCCAUGAAUGAAAUUCAGCCAAGAGUCUGUUCAGCUCCUCCAAUAAUCCUUAGGAGAAGUGCUCUUGGACAUAACGGACAGAAAUGCUCUUGGACAUGUUUUAAUGGACAGAUUUCCAUUUUUUUCCCAGAUUUUUCUGUUUGCGCAUUCCAUCACAUGACUAAAGACUAAACUUAUGUGUCUACUUCUUAUUGUCUGAUAUUUUAAUAUCAACAGAGACGAUAGCCUACCAAACUUUUGUUUACUUUGCAUUUUACUUUAUUUGUACACAUUUCCCAUUUAUUCAUCCUGUUAUGAAUACAAAAAUGUGUAUGUGUAUGUUUGUAGUGGUGCUAUUGGUUUCAAAAACUUCUCAAAACUACCUUGAGAACUCUUUAAAUCAGUUUCUUAAGUGGUGUCUCUUGAAAUGCUGAGGACAUAAAAUAUUGGCCAU